This 497-nucleotide ribosomal RNA is filed under the name uncultured bacterium. Its description in RNAcentral is "partial 16S ribosomal RNA". It matches the Rfam family "Bacterial small subunit ribosomal RNA", at positions 28 to 507 of the family's 1533-position model. The record is from RNAcentral.
GAUGAACGCUGGCGGCGUGCCUAAUACAUGCAAGUCGAGCGAACAGACGAGGAGCUUGCUCCUCUGACGUUAGCGGCGGACGGGUGAGUAACACGUGGAUAACCUACCUAUAAGACUGGGAUAACUUCGGGAAACCGGAGCUAAUACCGGAUAAUAUAUUGAACCGCAUGGUUCAAUAGUGAAAGACGGUUUUGCUGUCACUUAUAGAUGGAUCCGCGCUGCAUUAGCUAGUUGGUAAGGUAACGGCUUACCAAGGCAACGAUGCAUAGCCGACCUGAGAGGGUGAUCGGCCACACGGGAACUGAGACACGGUCCAGACUCCUACGGGAGGCAGCAGUAGGGAAUCUUACGCAAUGGGCGAAAGCCUGACGGAGCAACGCCGCGUGAGUGAUGAAGGUCUUCGGAUCGUAAAACUCUGUUAUUAGGGAAGAACAGAUAUGUAAGUAACUGUGCACAUCUUGACGGUACCUAAUCAGAAAGCCACGGCUAACUACGUG